UGGGGAAUAUUGCACAAUGGGCGCAAGCCUGAUGCAGCAAUGCCGCGUGUGUGAAGAAGGUCUUCGGAUUGUAAAGCACUUUCGACGGGGACGAUGAUGACGGUACCCGUAGAAGAAGCCCCGGCUAACUUCGUGCCAGCAGCCGCGGUAAUACGAAGGGGGCUAGCGUUGCUCGGAAUGACUGGGCGUAAAGGGCGUGUAGGCGGUUUACACAGUCAGAUGUGAAAUCCCCGGGCUUAACCUGGGAGCUGCAUUUGAUACGUGUAGACUAGAGUGUGAGAGAGGGUUGUGGAAUUCCCAGUGUAGAGGUGAAAUUCGUAGAUAUUGGGAAGAACACCGGUGGCGAAGGCGGCAACCUGGCUCAUGACUGACGCUG
RNAcentral lists this ribosomal RNA (376 nucleotides) under uncultured bacterium. RNAcentral's name for it is "partial 16S ribosomal RNA". It matches the Rfam family "Bacterial small subunit ribosomal RNA", at positions 355 to 748 of the family's 1533-position model. The record is from RNAcentral.